This is a long non-coding RNA of Oncorhynchus keta (chum salmon), 730 nucleotides long. RefSeq lists it as uncharacterized. Lineage: Eukaryota; Metazoa; Chordata; Actinopteri; Salmoniformes; Salmonidae. The record is from RefSeq and is a predicted model, not a curated record. The transcript is spliced from 3 exons.
CCACUGUGUCAGCUCAAUCAAAUGUCAAAGGUACAUUUCACACCACUGUGUCAGCUCAAUCAAAUGUCAAAGGUACAUUUCACACCACUGUGUCAGCUCAAUCAAAUGUCAAAGGUACAUUUCACACCACUGUGUCAGCUCAAUCAAAUGUCAAAGGUACAUUUCACACCACUGUGUCAGCUCAAUCAAAUGUCAAAGGUACAUUUCACACCACUGUGUCAGCUCAAUCAAAUGUCAAAGGUACAUUUCACACCACUGUGUCAGCUCAAUCAAAUGUCAAAGGUACAUUUCACACCACUGUGUCAGCUCAAUCAAAUGUCAAAGGUACAUUUCACACCACUGUGUCAGCUCAAUCAAAUGUCAAAGGUACAUUUCACACCACUGUGUCAGCUCAAUCAAAUGUCAAAGGUACAUUUCACACCACUGUGUCAGCUCAAUCAAAUGUCAAAGGUACAUUUCACACCACUGUGUCAGCUCAAUCAAAUGUCAAAGGUACAUUUCACACCACUGUGUCAGCUCAAUCAAAUGUCAAAGGUACAUUUCACACCACUGUGUCAGCUCAAUCAAAUGUAAAAGGUACAUUUCACACCACUGUGUCAGCUCAAUCAAAUGUAAAAGGUACAUUUUAAAAUCUCAAAAGGUAAAAAUGUAUGCCAAAAUCGUCUUGUUUUGUGCACACCAUAGGGACAUGCUGGCCUACAUGUACGGUGAUAUGUACCUGUGACACAGU